UCCGGGAACCAGACUGUAACUGUUGGGGAGAAUGGGGCGGAGAGGGGGACAUGCCGGAGAGAGGGAGAGAGCAAGGCAACUCGGGGCUCAAAACAGUCAAAUUCAAAUUAAAAGGUCAAGACACGAUUCAGGGAAUAUUCCCAGAGAGGAAGAGGGAACCUGCAGGGCCUCGGCUGGUUUGUGGGAGUCACGUAUCACACGGGAAACUAGGACACCAGAUGUGACAAAAUCCGACCCGGAGCAGUGUCCUUUACAGAGCGAAUGAGCUGGGGAGCAUUUGUGAAUGGAGAAGAGGAACAAGCGUGUUUGUGUGGUUUUUAUUUUUUUUAAAAAAAAAAGAAAAACGAGAAAUAAGGGACAAGGAAACGGAAUCUGGAAAAUAACUUGUCUCCGGUCACGCCGCAGUUUCCCAUGGACGAAGCCUCGGGUUUCGAUUUUCCAAAGGGCUGGAGCCUGGCCAGAAAAGGACCGGUGCUCCGGGCACCCUGGCGUGGAGGAGUGCGGAGGCUGGAUUGCUUCUAGAGAGGCCCAAGCCCGCGGCUGUUAGAAAAGGAUUUCGGAAGGAAAUCCACGGAACUCCCUCAUCCAGGGAGCAAGAGAUGAGGCACGGGGGUCCGUGGGCCCUGGGAACACUGGCAGAAAAUGUGUAAUGUGUGACUCGCUUGCAGGGCCAGCCAGGGGAGAUUAGAAAUGGUUUUGUGUUUUCAUUUGCAGGGGUCACCGUGGGCUCGGCACAGGGGUUGGCCGGGGCAAGGUUAGGCUGUUUAGGCCCCAGACAAGACUUGGGACAGCCCGGGCAGCCGUCAAUCCAGGGAGCCAUUUGUCCCACCUCCCACCCCGCGGGAAACGGCAGAGACUUUAUGGCCACUCUGUUUGUAUUAUCUGCAUAAGUCUUUCCCCACCAGUUUGAUCGAAACUGUUCGCUUUUACGAGGACCCAACGAAAAUUCCCCGUCAUAUUUAUCAGCCGGGGAUAAAAAUUUAGUAUGGGAACUGAUAUUUCCUCAUUUAUGGGGCGAUGAAAUUAAAGACCAAAGCAAUUGAGAA
Leptonychotes weddellii (Weddell seal) is the source of this 1046-nucleotide long non-coding RNA. RefSeq lists it as uncharacterized. The record is from RefSeq and is a predicted model, not a curated record. NCBI's taxonomy places the organism in Eukaryota, Metazoa, Chordata, Mammalia, Carnivora, Phocidae.